RNAcentral lists this long non-coding RNA (1046 nucleotides) under Setaria viridis. RNAcentral's name for it is "long non-coding RNA (SVIR_LNC008604)". The record is from RNAcentral. Lineage: Eukaryota; Viridiplantae; Streptophyta; Magnoliopsida; Poales; Poaceae.
CAACGUAUGGAGGAUGAAUGUUUCCUCAGCGGCUAGCAAAAGAAGAUGAAUGAAUCACACGCAAUUAGAGGCUAAGGCACAUGACCUUUAACGGUGGGGGCGAUCAGAUCAGACGCGUCCUCCUCCUACUCCUCCUGUGGCGUUGGCGAUGAAGGACAGCAGCGGGUUGCCGCUGCCGGCGGCCUGGUCGGGCUCGUCGAGGAAGAGGUCCUCCGGGACGCGGAACGCGCCGUGCGCGCAGACGACGGCGGCGCCGAGGGCGAGCGCGGAGAAGAUGAGCGAGCCGACGGAGGUGAGGAAGACGACGAAGGCCGAGGAUGCGAUGAGGCCCCCGAGCACCUCCUUAUCGGAGAAGGUGCGCCCGAACGCGGCGAGAGGCGGCGCGUCGGCGGGGCGGAGGAUGUAGAGGAGGCACCAGGCGGCGAGCAGGGCGAGGAGGGCGGCGAGCGAGAAGGGGUGGGCGAGGAGGGCGGCGGCGAGGGAGAGCGCGACGACGGCGGCGUAGUUGACGCGGAAGUAGGCGAGAUUCUUGCGGAGGCGGGAGGUGGCGUCGGAGAGGGAGUCCGGGCGGGAGAGCGCGGAGCGGUCGGCGAGCUCGGACCAGGGGCGGGCGCCGGAGAGCGCGCGCCUGGCGGAGUCGAGGAGGCGGGAGAGGAAGGCGCGCGCCGCGGCCGGGUUGGCGUCGGCGGCGACGUCGGCGGAGGAGACGGCGGUGGGGAUGGGGGUGGGGGUUGGUGUUGCCGCCGGGGCGACGGAGGUGGGGAGGAGCGGAGGGGAGGGCGCGGCCAUGGUGCGUGGCCGGGUUUGGCGGAUCUGGGCGAGGGAGGCUGAGGGACGAGGACGCACGCGGAGAGGGAGAGAUGGAAGCCGAACAACCAACACAAAAGAAGGGAGCGAGGCCACCGACCGCACCGACACACGCAACAAAGAAAUGGACUAGUCAACGCGUCGCCACGGUGCACGUCAAAAAUUGCCGGCCAAGGAUCGUGCAAAUUCUAUGUCAGUUAUAUUUGUGAGUUUGCAUGGUUUUCAAAAUGCACACAGUU